CCUACGGGAGUCAGCAGUGGGGAAUAUUGCACAAUGGGGGAAACCCUGAUGCAGCGACGCCGCGUGAGUGAAGAAGUAAUUCGUUACGUAAAGCACUAUCAGCAGGGAAGAAACACUGACCUUACGGUCAGCAGACGGUAGACGAGUAAGAAGCACUGGCUAACUACGUGCCAGCAGCCGCGGUAAUACGUAGGGGGCAAGCGUUAACCGGAUUUACUGGGUGUAAAGGGAGCGGAGACGGUGCGCCAAGUCUGAAGUGAAAUGCCGCAGCUUAACUGCGGAACUGCUUAGGAGACUGGCGGACUAGAGUGCGGGAGAGGUAAGCGGAAUUCCUAGUGUAGCGGUGAAAUGCGUAGAUAUUAGGAGGAACACCGAUGGCGAAGGCGGCUUACUGGACCGUAACUGACGUUGAGGCUCGAAAGCGUGGGGAGCAAACAGGAUUAGAUACCCGAGUAGUC
Molecule: ribosomal RNA, 458 nt
Filed under: uncultured bacterium
Lineage: Bacteria
Description: partial 16S ribosomal RNA
Rfam family: Bacterial small subunit ribosomal RNA
Source: RNAcentral